CUAGCAUUGCUUGCAAUAGACUUUCAUAUAAGGGUGUUUCUUUUCUUCUCAAGUAUCACAAUUAGUUUGUAGCCUGAAAAUAUUUCCAGGGUAAUCUUGCCCAUGGGCAAUGGAAGAUGUGGACUCAAAAUAGUUGUGACUUUGAUAUAACACUCUGCCAAAUCGUGUGAUGCACAUUCUACGUGUAAUAUUGGUUAUAUCAAGCCUUCAUUUACUGCUUAAAGAUCUAUGUUCAAAUGGAAAUACCUGACUGAGUCUCAGUGCCAAUAUAUCGUCUGCUUUCCUGAUAUCCUACUUCCGUUAAUGGUAUUAUGUGGAUACAUGAAGUCUCUCUAAUGACAAGAAUUGAAAGAAGCGUGGAACUAUUUGUUAGUCUAGGAUUUAACUGUUUUAUUUCUGUGUAAUCAUUAAUGUUCUAGGCCUAAUGGAUAAGAAGACUGUUGUCGAAGUCACUCCCACCAGUUAAAUGUAAACAAACGUCAAUGCUAACCGGUCAAGUGUGGUCCAAGUACUUCCUGAAGCUGCCUGGACCAAUAGAAAAUAAUCCAGAACCAUAUUCAGGUGAUCAUAAUGGAAGUAUAACAUGACAUCAAAUUUAACAAGAGCUGCAGCAAUAAAAAGAC
Long non-coding RNA from Patella vulgata (common limpet), 623 nucleotides. RefSeq lists it as uncharacterized. The record is from RefSeq and is a predicted model, not a curated record. NCBI's taxonomy places the organism in Eukaryota, Metazoa, Mollusca, Gastropoda, Patellidae. The transcript is spliced from 3 exons.